Molecule: ribosomal RNA, 436 nt
Filed under: Niallia circulans
Lineage: Bacteria; Bacillati; Bacillota; Bacilli; Caryophanales; Bacillaceae
Description: bacterial LSU rRNA
Rfam family: Bacterial large subunit ribosomal RNA
Source: RNAcentral
AUAAGUUAGAAAGGGCGCACGGUGGAUGCCUUGGCACUAGGAGCCGAUGAAGGACGGGAUUAACACCGAUAUGCUUUGGGGAGCUGUAAGUAAGCUUUGAUCCAGAGAUUUCCGAAUGGGGAAACCCUCUAUCCGUAAUGGGAUAGAAUCUUUACCUGAAUACAUAGGGUACUGAAGGCAGACCCGGGGAACUGAAACAUCUAAGUACCCGGAGGAAGAGAAAGCAAACGCGAUUCCCUGAGUAGCGGCGAGCGAAACGGGAUUAGCCCAAACCAAGAGGCUUGCCUCUUGGGGUUGUAGGACACUCUAUAUGGAGUUACAAAGGAACGGGGUAGACGAAUCGAUCUGGAAAGGUCAGUCGUAGAAGGUAAAAACCCUGUAGUCGAAACUUCGUUCCCUCUUGAGUGUAUCCUGAGUACGGCGGGACACGAGAAAU